UACGUAGGGGGCUAGCGUUGUCCGGAAUCAUUGGGCGUAAAGCGCGUGUAGGCGGUUCGGUAAGUCCGCUGUGAAAGUCCGGGGCUCAACCCUGGAAAGCCGGUGGAUACUGUCGGACUAGAGUGCGGAAGAGGCGAGUGGAAUUCCCGGUGUAGAGGUGAAAUUCGUAGAUAUCGGGAGGAACACCGGUGGCGAAGGCGGCGCCCUGGGUCGAGACUGACGCUGAGGCGCGAAAGCGUGGGGAGCAAACAGG
Molecule: ribosomal RNA, 253 nt
Filed under: uncultured bacterium
Lineage: Bacteria
Description: partial 16S ribosomal RNA
Rfam family: Bacterial small subunit ribosomal RNA
Source: RNAcentral